AAGUCGUAACAAGGUUUUGCACUAAGCAACAGAUUCUUCUGUCGGCAGAACUUAGGAGACCUUGCAGCCCGGAACCGGGUCGGCAACACGACUGAUAAAUAACGUUGACCACUGCAAGUUGGUCAUCAUACCAGCAACACAAUCGAAAUGCGGGGGAACUCCUAAAGCUCACAGCACCAACUUGGGGAGAGAAAUCUCUCAAGGGCCCUGAAUAAGGGAUGGUGAUAGUAUGUGAGAUGUAACAAUGGACAAUCCGCAGCGGAGACCCUGUCACAUGGGUAACGUUCACAGACUAAGUGAUUGUGGGUUAGCAAACGCUAAUCUAAGAUAUAGUCGAGCUGAAGAUGAAAGUCUUCAGGCUUCUGCGUCCAUAGGUGAACCUGCGGAAGGAUCAUUACCGAGUUCAUGCCCUCACGGGUAGAUCUCCCACCCCUUGUGAUUAUACUAUCGUUGCUUUGGUAGCUGGCUUUCGGGCUAUCAGUCUACAGAGAACCCCCAAUCUCUUAAAUUUUUAUUGCCUGAUACUAUAUAAUAGUUAAAA
RNAcentral lists this unclassified non-coding RNA (541 nucleotides) under plant metagenome. RNAcentral describes it as "partial contains small subunit ribosomal RNA and internal transcribed spacer 1". The stretch from base 29 to 357 matches the Rfam family "Group I catalytic intron". Rfam says of the family: Group I catalytic introns are large self-splicing ribozymes. The record is from RNAcentral.